UCUUGCUAUCGCCGACAAUGAGAACCACGAACAGCCUACUGCAACAAAUGAACUCUUCGAAACUUUUGAUAUGCCACUGGACAAUGAGCCUGAUAAAGUACUGACUGAAACAAUCGAAGAGCUGUGGAGGAAGCUCGAAAGUACUGACAAACACAUUAGUCGAAGACCAUGUCCAAGGAUACGCCUAGAAUGCAGCAGCAUCCCUUAAAACAUGGCUUAAAAAUAGUAUUUUAUUUUCAGUUGUCACCAUAGAAAAAGAUUCCUACUACAGUGUCUUUUAUGAAGAUCCUCCAAAGUACUACGUUGAAAGAGUGUUGGGAAGUUGUUCGUGCUCAGCAGUUUCGGGAGACCACUUCAGAAUGAGGUUUUUAAAAUGCGACGCUUUGACAGGAAAAUUCAGUUGGCCCUGUUCCGACGACAUCGAGUGUCUGGCUUCACUUUGGAUGUUUGCCGGGCCACUGACACUUGAUGGGCAUGGACCGUUUACAAUAGAUGAGAUAGACAUCAUUGAGGAAAAGUUUCAAGUCUUCCGUCGGGAAAUCUUAAUCAAACAGCUUCAUGCUUAGACUGCCGAUUUAGACACUUGUGACCAACAAGUGUAGGGUACUUACUUGACACAAUGGUUCAAUUACUUGACUGUACUUGAUUUUAAACAUGAAUUGAAACUGCUAAAAAAAAAAAAAUUAUUAUUUACAUGUAGGCCUAGUAUGAAUUAGUUCCACCCAAGGCUUGUCAAUGGCUAUGCCUUGUUUUUCUGUAUGGGUGGUAUGAUCAUGAGAGUGGUUAUUAUUAAUAUUCCUGGAGUAUAGUCAAAGAUUUUCACCUAGUCACUCACCCAUCUACAAGCUCAAUUCAUCUUAAAGAUGCUGCUGAUUUCAAAUGUAUUUUUGUAAAAUUGUACAAU
Molecule: RNA transcript, 904 nt
Organism: Priapulus caudatus
Lineage: Eukaryota; Metazoa; Priapulida; Priapulimorpha; Priapulimorphida; Priapulidae
Exons: 2
Source: RefSeq, a predicted model, not a curated record